This 9169-nucleotide long non-coding RNA is filed under the name Homo sapiens (human). RNAcentral describes it as "non-protein coding lnc-EMB-4:12". The record is from RNAcentral. Lineage: Eukaryota; Metazoa; Chordata; Mammalia; Primates; Hominidae.
GCCACUGACCGCUCGGCGAGCCAGCGGGAGAGGAUUAGGGCUCCCGAGGCAACUUGCUCGGGGCUCAGGCCGUUCUCCCCCGAAGCUCGGGCUGCCGGGCUGUUCUGGCUCUGGCCUCCCUCUCCUCCUCUUCCUCUUCCUUCUGUCCCCUCCCGCGUUCCUUCCCGGCCGCGCCGCCUGCGCCCUCGCCUCCUGUGGCGCUGCUCCUCCGCCCUGCGCUCCUGGGGUCCCCGCAGUCCGGCUGGCCGCGUUGCGCGCGGGGCUCACUUUCUGCCGCCGGUGGCGAGUGGCUGGUGGGUAGGUCUACCUGUUGACGAGGUCCCUCCCGGGCUCUAGGAAAAGGGGGGAACUUGGAGCAGGCCGUUCAGCUUGGUUUGGUCCCCACGCCGUGGUGCACAUCCCCGGGGCCUGGCCUGCCUUGGCUGCUCCGGAGGGCUAGUUCCUCCAGAACUGGCUGCGCUCGGCGCGCUAGGGGAAGAAGAAUCGGGAAUGGGAUGAUUAAACCCAGAGGAACUGUUUCCUGACUGCUACACCAUUACUCCGUCUCCCCCAACCUCAGAUAUCUAAAAACGUUGGGUGGGAGGAAAGGGGCGCUUCUUGCUGUUGGGACAAUCAGGUUGGAACGCACCGGUAAACCGAAGUUGACUCCGCGGACUGACUUUUUGUCUUUCAGACCCGCGAGGUCUGCUUCUCAGUUUAACUCUAGAAUUGAAGCUCACUAACCCGAAGCCAAAGAGCGAAAUGAUCUUUCAGUAGUCUAAAGUUUGUAAGAUUUUUAUAUACUGUUCAAUUCUUCUCACUGCUGGUCUCCUGCCCUUUGUUUUUAAGCAAACUUGUGCAACUAGCUGUGGUAUUUUGGUAAUUAUAAGGACAAGUCUCCAUGACUUUGUGGAGAUUUUUUAAAAAUGCAUUAGUCUAAGGGCGCGAGUAGGGAGGGAUUUAUUACAGAACAGUGAAAGACCUAUUUCACGUCCCCAGGCGUUAAUAUAUAAUUUUCUCUCGAGAAACUACUUGGAGAGAGAAGACUGUUAGGUGCAACUCGCCGGUAACCUUCUUCAAUCAUUCUUACAUGUUCCCAUCAUCUGUUACGGUCUCCCAAAGACAGUCACAGGAAGGCCACGAAGAACCCCCGCGCUUCCCCCAAAGCUUCUAAAAAGCCAUUUCUUAUCUAAUGGGGCUGCCAGUUUUAUCUAAAAAGUCCUACAGACACAAACCAUAGAAGGCUUAAUUUCGGUGUCUUGUUGCUGUGAGAAGACCCGGUGUGUUAGGAAACUCCUUUCUUUAUAUCUUUCGCAAAAUCUAACCCUUGAUAAGAGCUGUAAAUCCUGGCCGGCCGCAUUGGCUGGGCUUGAACGGGUAAUGCCUCUCCAAAGCGGAAAGGGAAUCAAAGAUGCGUAAGUUUCCUCCUGACCUAGCUGAGGCUUUCUUCCCCAGGAACUAGUUUUGAUUUGUUUUUUCUCAAGGAGGAUUUCAAAUUGGAUCUGUCUUCCCUUCCAUUUUUAUUAUAAGUUGUUUUAGAGCGCGUGUAUGAAAGCGAAAGUUGGAUAGACCUAGGUUGAUAAGUUUACCAGUUGUGUGGUGUGUGUUUUUUUUUUUUUUUUUUUUUGGUCUGUUUCUAGUCUCUGGUAUUAGAUGUAUGGAGCCUUUUGUCAGGCUGCUUUUGCAAAGCUGAUGCUGUUAAUCUCAAUACGAAGCAAAUCUUCCUAGUAUUUGUGUGUGUUUCCCAUAGAGAUAAACAUGUUGACCCUAGUAAAAAAAAAAAAAAAAAAAGAUACCACCACAAUGCCAGAAAAUAGAGUUUUACCUAGUCAUAUUCCAUCAUGCCACUUUUAUAAGAUGGAAUUAAACACCAGAAGCCACCAGAAGCCUGAUGACUUACAUUUGAGAUCCACAAAGCACCCUCACUAUCCAUCCUCCUUCAAACCAGCCCCCACCUCCCACCCACAGUGUGGUAUUUUAACUCCCUAAACCAAUAAGCUAUUACAAAGAAUUAUUGCAGAUGAUAGCACUUCCAAGUAGAAAAGCUUGCAUGCGGCUUGGGGGAAACCUUUAGUAAUAGACAAUUUCACCUUAAUGGUGAAGACAACAUUUUCCUCUUUUCAUUCUGCACCAUUGUUGUAAACAAGUAUUUUCUUAAUAAGUUCCUAAACUGAUAGAAGCAAGACGCAUGGUGAAGAUACCAGCAUUAAAAGGAGACGUUUGAGGGACCCCACCAUGAUGGACAUGCUCUGAAGUUCAGUGCAUGUAUCAUGACACAUUUUGCAUUAAAAUCCAAGUUAGAAUAGCAGGCUUUGUAGUUUUACUUUACCUUGAAGUUCUAAAUUGAUCAUGGAUUAUUAUGAUUUCCUCAGCUGAUUGCUGUAUGUGGAUUUAGUGCAUCAAAUAUAUCUGUAAAAUUUUGUAUACAUAAAACUGAUGAGCAAUUUAUCCGUAAUACUUGAUCACAGGAGCGACCUCUUGUGUUCAAAGCGGGGAUUAGACCCUCUCCUCUCAAAAAAGGACUCGUUUUGACCUUUGUAUAUUGUUAGGUCAAAAAUAUAUCCUUGAAAACGGCAAUAGUGUGAAUCUCUGGUUUGAUUCCUUUACUGAGAAAAUGAGGAGUAUGAGUAGUUAUUAAGUGUAGUCCCCAUCACCUCCAGGCUGCCUCAAUAUAUCUGACAGUGUCUUUCAAUAUAAAAGGGAUACUGAAAUUUAAGUUCCUCUGGAGUCUGUGGCAUCUGCCCAUGUGCCCUUGUAUACACCUUCCAAAAUGUGGCUGUUACACCCAACCUCCUGAUGGGCUCUUAGACUUGUGUUUUUGUGUACUGUUGCUUUCUCUGCUUUAGUUACCAUUUAAACAUUCCACAUCAAACUUAAUGUCAGAUACAGAUUCCUGCACAAACAUCAUGCUCUCAAGCUACAUUUCAAAAAUCUAAAUAGGUUUUAAUUGCAAUUGAAAGGUAAAAUUACACAUUUAGCAUUUAUUUAUCUCCCAAUAACCUCUGGCAGAUAUAAAUGAAUUUUAAGUUGUUUCUUUGGGAAAUCACAAACAGUAAGACAGCUUAUUCCUUCUCAUCUAACCAAGACUGGGAAGGGAAGAGGGGCUUUGAUCAGCUUUCCAAUGGAGGUAUAAAUUUGAGAAUUUAUUCCCAGGGAGAUGAUGCUAUAUGUUUAGCUCACAUCAGAAUCAGGUUUGAAAGAGUAGAAUAAGUUACACUGCCAGUUUUACUGAGUAAGGUAUUCAGAUGAAAAAAUAUGUAUAACUGAAGGAUUUAUAUUUUCUGAUGUCCACAUCAUAUAAUUUGGGGGCCAAAAUGAAACAGGAAGAUUUUAUUUACCUCUAAAAAUGGAUAUUGAGUAGAUGCGUAUGUAUCCCCUUUCCCGUUUUUAUCUUUUCUGUGUAGUCUCUAAUGAUGUAGAAUAAGGCUAUAUAAAUCCUCAGUAUCUUUAAUCAUGUCCAAGGGUCAGAUAAAAUUAUGUGCGUUUAAAGGGAGUUACGAUUAACCAUUUAUAUUCCACCGCGAACGGGGUGUGGGUGUUUAGAACCAAUUUGCGUCUCUUCCCGUUGGUGGUGGUGGCUUAUUGAGGAACAAUCAGGAGAAUCUGUGCUCUAAUUUCAGAGAAAAGGAAGAGAUACCAGUGGGUAUGAAAUGAUUCUCUUUUUCUUUCCUUUUACUUAAAAAAAUACUAAGCAAUGAUAAUAAAGGCAGUUGUUAACAACAACAAACCUUUAGUUGUGAUUCUUAUUCUGAUGCCUAGGACUCCUGCUGCGAUUGUGGUUUUGUUGAGUGUCAAUUGCUUUAUUAACCAGAUAAAACAGUCUGGGUGAAUUAGCAAGAAUUUUCUCUGCACGCAGAGCUUCCUAGCCUUACUUUCUGAGUUCAGGUAGUUGUUUCUGACACCAGCUUUCCUGGUAUUUCUUGGCAGACGACAGGCCAGAAGGCACCGUUCUUGUGCGGUCUGUUGCUCGGUUCUCAGCCGAGAUAGAAUUUCAUGCUCCCGGCAUCGGGGCAGCUGCGAAACCACAAACCUCAGUUCAGUCCUGAGCAUGCGAAGGUCCGCAGUUGAUUGCAGGGAGGCGUUCGGCCAAGCGAGGACGGAAAUUUGUAUUCUCCCUUUAAAAUUGUGCUUCUGAAAGUAUUUACUAUGACUUAUCAAAAGCGGCUGGCAGUGUCAAGUGAAACCUUUUUCUUGCUUCCCCCUGCCCCCUAGAACUCCUAAGUGACCAGGAACAGACGAUUUUUAACCGAGUUCUGCUGCGUGGAGCCCAGGUUGGCGCUAGUGAGUGCAGUGUGCUGACCCAAGUGGUGGUGGCCCAAGGACGCGCUGACCCGUACAUUUGGCAAAGCUUUCAUUAAAUGUAUCAGAUUCUCGCGGAAGUGGUUGCAGUCCGGAGAGUGAAACAGCUAUCUCUCAAGUCCUGACCGGUUCAGCUGAAAUCUACAUUUGCACUGAAUCUGGCAAAACACGGACGGGUCCGCCCGAGAUCUCAGGAAACCCAGAGCAAGUUACCUCCAUGUAGUUGAUCAUUCUUUCUGAAAGGACGGACACCAUUUACCCCACUGCAAUCCUGUCCAACGGGCAGCUCUGAGUUUAGCUUUAGCGCCAAAGGAUUGAUUUCCCCCACCCGCUGGAGAUUUACUGGGGACGAGCGGGGGAGGGGAGGCGAAGGUACCUCGGAGGAGGUCAAGUGGGGGAGGAGGAGGAGCAGCAGAAAAUUACCAGCCAAGCAGGGGAGGGAGUUGGAAGCCCGGAAAUAUACCAGGAUGCCUCAAGUAACCUUCCUUUAAGUCUCAGAAUUCAGCCCUCGGAAAACAGCCUCAUAAGGUGUCCUGGGAAGGAGUCCUCGGGUGGGCUGCGGAGGUGAUGUCAAGAGUUACAGCUACUUUAUGAAUUAAACUGACGGCUAAGGCAUGUCGGGACAGUUUAGUGUAAGCUGAAUGGUGCGUGGACGGGGCAACUUUUAAAGAGAGGUGGGCAAUCAUUGGUGGCAUCUACCAGUAUAUUCUGCAUGUAACAGUAGUUUGGAAGCUGAAGAAAAACCCCUCAAAUCCCAGUAAAUGCCCGGUCAGUUCGAGAGAGAUUUUAGGGACAAUUUUGAAGGUCGCUGUCUGCUCCAACUCCGCAGAGAUGAACAAGAGUGUGAACUCUGGCGCGGGUGUGUUUAGAAUUAUCUACGACUUCAGAUCCAUGCUGUUGAAACUCAUCAAUUCUUUGUGACUUCACGUGGAGAGAAGAAUUUGCCCUGCCUCCCUACCUGCUAAAUGCCGACUGAGAAAAGGGGCCCAGGAGACGACCCCUUUCAGAAAGAACGUCACUUCAUCAACUCGGCUGAGUUAUUAACUUGCUCCCCGAAAGGUCAACAACGCCUUCUCUUCUCAGCCGCACCGCGCGGAGAUCAAUCGCUUUACCCUAGGUAGCCUCUUGUUCAGGGCUCAGGAACUCCUGUCUUAAGGUCCUUCUGGGGCUCAGAAGCUGUGUUGUGUAUGUUCUUUCCAAGAAUCCCACCUGUCUGCUUUCAAGCACACACGGCGCUAGAAAUUUAGCCUAGCCUGAGUCCUGGGAUGAGAGAAGAGCUAAACAAAGAGACCCCAACCGUCCCCUUGGCCCCCUGCCCCGCCGUUUUGCAGUUUGCCAACCUUCUAGCUAGACAGCCCCCUAAGUCUCCGUGUUGCGAGUGAAAGAGAAUUUUUCUAUUUCAUCUUCCCAUUGACCGAAGCAGAAAAAUUGAACCGAAUCUACGCCCCUUGUUCUGAUUCCUGCUAGAGGAAAACAGAAAAUCAUCCCGCAGGUCUCUUUCAGUCCCUGGAUGGCGAGCGCAGCCCCUGGGAGGCCACACUUAGUUCUUUAUUGUGAAUCUCUCGCUACUCAAGUUCGUUCGGGACCAGGGCCUCGGAUGGCCUCGGUUGCCCGUAAGUACGCGAAAGAAGAGGUGAAUCCAAUCGCUGGCCUAGAGGAUAGUGAUCAGACAACCCGAGGAUUACUAAACAAGGGGCGGCGGUGUCCCUGUCUCAUGGGGUUGGCGUGGGGCGGGGGGUAGGCAGCAAGAUCCUCCAGGCUCCUGGAUGCAAAGAGUGAGAAAGAAAGCGCAGCCUCUGGCAGCCUGCUUAUAAAUGCAGCCUUUCGGAAGAUGAAACUUGCAGUCUUAGGUUGUCCUCCUUUAUAUCCAUGUUCCAAUCCUCUGGGCUUUCCUCGAAAUGAAUAAAAUUGUGGAAAUGAAUGAAUGAGAAUAUCACUUUAAUUGUUUCAAACUCAUUGUCAAGUCACCUUUUCUGCCAUCUGCCAGAGGUUCAAUUUGCGCUUCGUGUCUACAUUCCAGAAAAUUGUAAGGACGUUUCCUCUGCAUCUGUCUGCCUUGUUGGCAGCGUGCGGAAACGAUAACUGCACAGUUAUUGGUACAGAAUAUUUUCAUGACUAGCUUAAUUCUAAAUAUCACCCCAAAAUACAGAUACCUUACUUCUUAGUUGGCAUUAUUCAAGUUUAUUCACUUUGUGCUGCAAAUGUUUGAAUUAGAAAACAGGAGAGAACUCCCGCAGCAGAGAUGCACUUCUCUGCUCUCCUGUCAGUCACAGAACCCACACUGGGUGAUUAGCCAGAGGGGCGGGCUCCUUUGUUGACUUAAGAGUUCACCAGGCAAGAUGGAACAAUUAUCUUGUUGCCUCUUCUUAACUGUCUAUUGUUGACUUACUUCUAGUAUGCUUCCAUUGUACAAAAUUCUAUCCAAAAUUGAAGAAUAAAUCGUAAGUUAAAAAGGUAAUAAUGAUAAUAGGUCUACUUUAAUUUUACCUGGCUUUGUUAAUAGAUAGUCUAUACCUGACAGUCAUAUACAUAAGAGAUGUCGAAAGUAUAUAGCAUAUCAUUUAUGUAUAAUUAUAUAUGUUAUAAUUAUAUGCUAAUGAUACCAUCAUUUAACGUUACAAGGUAAUUCUAUAGAAAACUUGAAGUUCUAUUUUUGAUAUAUAUAACACCCUCUUUACAAGAAAAUAAUUGUCAGGCUUAAAAAUGAUAUUCAAGGGUGCUUUUAUCAAGAGAACAAAAUCUGAAGCUUCAUGAACUAAAAUCCUAUCAAGCAAGGUGGUCCAUAACUAGGUUGCUUUGGGUUAAUGAUAACUUAAAAUACUCUUGUUUUUGUAACUUUUUGUGCACAAAGUGCACAUUUUACAGUUGUGCAUGUCAAUGUGUGUUUUACCACUUAUUAUUCUGAAACCUUCAGUCACAUCAUUUCAGCAGGAAAUAAAACCUGAAUAAGUCCUAGGCAAUGUGUAAGGAAUAAGUAUGGUUUAACUUUUGUAGCUUAACAAUAUUGUGCUGAUCUUUAAAUGCAAAUAUUAAUAUAUUGAAAUUAAUAUAAGUAGAUAAUUUCAUCACCUCCUAAUUUAUAAAAAAUGGAAAAGCAAAUAUAACAAGCUGCUUUACUUUCUAUAAUGUCUAUUUAAGGACUCUCCCUCCUCUUUCCAGAUACAUGUACUAGCCCAGGAAGAUCCCUGCAUCUUGAACAGUAAUGCUGAAUCGGAAACUAUGUCGUUACCCAUAAGUAGAAUCCUCCUGACUUUCACUUAAAUAUCAGGACCCAAAUUAUUUUAUGUCUCACUUCAGAACAUAGCACAAUGUGCUAUUUUAUCUUCUUGGCCCAGUCUUUAGAUUUAUUCUAUACUCUCCGUGUUACAAGCUGCACAAACCAUUGGUGACAAUGAGAACCACUCUAUAUAGUUUUACUGACUUUGGAUUCUCAUAUAAUGUAUGAACAAAUAUAAGCCAUAUCUUUUAGGUCUUGACGAUGUGUUUCUUCCAAUUCUGAAGUGUUCGUAUAGUUGUCCCUAAUGUCACGUGAUACGUCUCUUCGUUGUCCUAUACCCGAGCCAUAGCAGAUCUGAUGUGACUUUGGAUAUACCAUGUGAGGGCAAGCAUUUUCUUUUAGGCUAGGCCAUCAAUGAGGAAGAAACAUGAGUAGAGCUCUUAAAGCAGAGGAAAAUGUAAGUGGAUGGAAAAAAAUCACACUUUUGAAUAUAGUAUUGGAGAAAGAAUUGAGUGUGGGUGACUUUAUUAGCUAGCAGAAGAAAGAGUGAAAAUAGGUGCUUGGCUAAGAUGAGAAAAGUAUUCAAUUUUGAAAACAGAAAGAGAAAGCUUAUUUAGAAAAAGAAAACAUGGAGUAAAUGUCAAGAGGAACAUAAAGAAAUAGGGCGUGGUGACCCAGUUCAUUCUGAUAGAAUAGGCGUUUAAGGGCAAAACCCAGAUCCGAAAUAGGUAGUGGAUGGAACUAGGGAACAGUAGAUUCAUAAUUAUUUUAACUUGGCAUUUAAAACUUUAAAAUCUGAGUUGAGGGGUUUUUUUUAAUGGUAGAAAAGCAGCUUAUUUGGCAAUAAUUUUAAAAACUUCUGUCGCAUCUUUAAUCAUACUAGACUGUUCACCUUUGUAAACUCCUCACUAUCAGUAAACUGUCAGUACACUGUCAGUACAGAAAAUACAAACUAAAAGUACUAGAAAUAUCACAAUACGGAUUUCUCUUUUUAAUGUAACUAGGUUUAUCUAACAAUAAGAUUCAGGAUUCAGAAAAGAAAAAAGACCAGAUCUGAGAAGGAAUUUUAAAAAAUGGUUUCAAAGUUUUCCAGAGUUUUGUUAGCCAUUGCCCUUUCUGCAGACGUGGUUAUAUCAGAAAGUGUAAUUCAAGUAUUUGCACUGCUUACUUAAACCACAAUAAAAAGGGAAAGAUGUUGUGAAAACACUGCCUCAUGCUCAAAUUUAUGCAAAACAACUUGAAAGGCUGCCAGCAACACUGUUGUUAUGUUAGCAGUUCUGAUCUGGCUUCACAUUCUCCUAGAGGAGUUCUUCUGAUGUGAGAAGAAUGUAAACCCAAACCACAAGGGAGUAUUCAUUGUACCUAUGCACUUGGGAAGAGUUUGGGUGCCCAAAAUGUCAGAAAAAUCAGAUACAGUUGUUCUCUUAGAAUCUAUUCUGGAGGUCACAAGGUCAGAAUGCCUGCACAUGUGCAUAAACCAACAUGCCCAUAAAAGCCUGAUAGGAGGCAGCAGUGCCCCAUAAAAGGUCACACCCAGCCAGAAUCCAGCAACGUUGGAACAGCGUCUGUUAUGGAGAAGAAAUAUGUGUCUGACAGCAGCAACAGCAGCAGCAGAGAAAGAUGGAUUGGGGAUUAAUCAUGAACCUGGGUAUUGUGGCUGGAAUUCCAUCACCC